RNAcentral lists this ribosomal RNA (500 nucleotides) under uncultured bacterium. Its description in RNAcentral is "partial 16S ribosomal RNA". It matches the Rfam family "Bacterial small subunit ribosomal RNA", at positions 30 to 523 of the family's 1533-position model. The record is from RNAcentral.
AUUGAACGCUGGCGGCAUGCCUUACACAUGCAAGUCGAACGGCAGCACGGGAGCAAUCCUGGUGGCGAGUGGCGAACGGGUGAGUAAUAUAUCGGAACGUGCCCAGUCGUGGGGGAUAACGCAGCGAAAGCUGUGCUAAUACCGCAUACGAUCUACGGAUGAAAGCGGGGGAUCGCAAGACCUCGCGCGAUGGGAGCGGCCGAUAUCAGAUUAGCUAGUUGGGGGGGUAAAAGCCCACCAAGGCGACGAUCUGUAGCUGGUCUGAGAGGACGGCCAGCCACACUGGAACUGAGACACGGUCCAGACUCCUACGGGAGGCAGCAGUGGGGAAUUUUGGACAAUGGGCGCAAGCCUGAUCCAGCAAUGCCGCGUGCAGGAUGAAGGCCUUCGGGUUGUAAACUGCUUUUGUACGGAACGAAACGGCUCUUUCUAAUAAAGAGGGCUAAUGACGGUACCGUAAGAAUAAGCACCGGCUAACUACGUGCCAGCCGCCGCAGUAA